AAGAAAGGUCGAGCGAACAGAAGGGAGCUUGCUCCCGGAUGUUAGCGGCGGACGGGUGAGUAACACGUGGGUAACCUGCCUGUAAGACUGGGAUAACUCCGGGAAACCGGAGCUAAUACCGGAUAGUUCCUUGAACCGCAUGGUUCAAGGAUGAAAGACGGUUUCGGCUGUCACUUACAGAUGGACCCGCGGCGCAUUAGCUAGUUGGUGGGGUAAUGGCUCACCAAGGCGACGAUGCGUAGCCGACCUGAGAGGGUGAUCGGCCACACUGGGACUGAGACACGGCCCAGACUCCUACGGGAGGCAGCAGUAGGGAAUCUUCCGCAAUGGACGAAAGUCUGACGGAGCAACGCCGCGUGAGUGAUGAAGGUUUUCGGAUCGUAAAGCUCUGUUGUUAGGGAAGAACAAGUGCGAGAGUAACUGCUCGCACCUUGACGGUACCUAACCAGAAAGCCACGGCUAACUACGUGCCAGCAGCCGCGGUAAUACGUAGGUGGCAAGCGUUGUCCGGAAUUAUUGGGCGUAAAGGGCUCGCAGGCGGUUUCUUAAGUCUGAUGUGAAAGCCCCCGGCUCAACCGGGGAGGGUCAUUGGAAACUGGGAAACUUGAGUGCAGAAGAGGAGAGUGGAAUUCCACGUGUAGCGGUGAAAUGCGUAGAGAUGUGGAGGAACACCAGUGGCGAAGGCGACUCUCUGGUCUGUAACUGACGCUGAGGAGCGAAAGCGUGGGGAGCGAACAGGAUUAGAUACCCUGGUAGUCCACGCCGUAAACGAUGAGUGCUAAGUGGUU
Molecule: ribosomal RNA, 788 nt
Filed under: Bacillus sp. (in: firmicutes)
Lineage: Bacteria; Bacillati; Bacillota; Bacilli; Caryophanales; Bacillaceae
Description: bacterial SSU rRNA
Rfam family: Bacterial small subunit ribosomal RNA
Source: RNAcentral